Molecule: ribosomal RNA, 449 nt
Filed under: uncultured bacterium
Lineage: Bacteria
Description: partial 16S ribosomal RNA
Rfam family: Bacterial small subunit ribosomal RNA
Source: RNAcentral
AACGGACGCUGGCGGCAUGCCUAACACAUGCAAGUCGAACGAAGGCUUCGGCCUUAGUGGCGCACGGGUGCGUAACGCGUGGGAACCUGCCCCUUGGUUCGGAAUAACACAGAGAAAUUUGUGCUAAUACCGGAUAAUGACUUCGGUCCAAAGAUUUAUCGCCGAGGGAUGGGCCCGCAUAGGAUUAGCUUGUUGGUGAGGUAACGGCUCACCAAGGCGACGAUCCUUAGCUGGUCUGAGAGGAUGAUCAGCCACACUGGGACUGAGACACGGCCCAGACUCCUACGGGAGGCAGCAGUGGGGAAUAUUGGACAAUGGGCGAAAGCCUGAUCCAGCAAUGCCGCGUGAGUGAUGAAGGCCUUAGGGUUGUAAAGCUCUUUUACCCGGGAUGAUAAUGACAGUACCGGGAGAAUAAGCUCCGGCUAACUCCGUGCCAGCCGCCGCCGUAA